This is a long non-coding RNA of Amphimedon queenslandica, 461 nucleotides long. RefSeq lists it as uncharacterized. The transcript is spliced from 2 exons. Lineage: Eukaryota; Metazoa; Porifera; Demospongiae; Haplosclerida; Niphatidae. The record is from RefSeq and is a predicted model, not a curated record.
AAUACUAAACCUUCACCUUUCCCCCUACUAUACAGAUCCCCAUGAGUGCUACAGUUCAAUGAUCAUUAGGAGCCCUAGCCCUGAGACACGUACCACUGGAUACACUAGACCUUCAUCUCAGAUCAGCUACUUAUCAGAGGAUCUACAGACCAUACCAUCAGUUGAAGAGCUAUCACUGGUUGAUGAUGAUACUGUCAUACAAGAAGAAGAAGAUGAACAAGUUGCUGUAUCUAGUGAAGUACCAAUGAAAGUUGAUAUCAGUAGAGGAGAGAGGGAGAGGAGGAGAGAGGGAGGGAGAGAGAGUCCUAUUGCAAUGAUGACACAAAGACCAAAGACACCAGAAGAAACAGGUUUGACCAGUUUUUAAUGAUUGACUAUAAGUACAUGUAGUUUAUAUCAAAUACUUGCAAUCAUGUGUCAUUGAACAUUUUGAUGAAUAAAGCAAAAGUUUAGUAAUUGCA